AAAAAUGCGGGGAAAUGUCCUGCUGCAAAGAACACUGUACAUCAAACCAAUGAGAUUCUACAGAUAAAAUGAUACAUCUACAAAUAAGUAACUAGAAUUUUUCAGCUAUUACAGAGAUUGGCAUUCCUAUCUUUGACCUCUUGAAGUAAGCUGUGUAGCUUGAAUCGAACUGAUCAGUCCAUGAUAAAGUUGAAGACAUCAGUAGUAGCACAAGUUUUCUUCCCAUAUUUCCCGUUGUUUCGCUCAAUCCAAAUAUAAUAGAUAUAGGCUUUCAGACAACUUUAAGAAUGAUCACAAGGAGAGAUUUUCCUUUCAGCUUCUUUUUCCAGUUGAACUCUUCAAGCCAGUCACCGGCAGGCCUGUGAAUAUUGAGGUCUGCAAAACUCUCUCUUAAAUUUGCUUAUUGUCAAUGGGAACUCUCCGGGAACAAUGUCUGCAUGAGGAGGAUUAUUGCAGUAGUGUUCCGGUCCCAGUUUCUCUUCAGGCCAGAAAAGCUUCUUGGUGUGGUGAACAGCACGAUAAUAGUGCUCAUCCUUAACGACUUGAUGUUCGAGACAAUCAAGCUUCUGAAUGUCAUCAUUUAGCCCAUCUUCGUUCCAUGGGGGUCGACGAUAGCCAUGAACAACUGCCUGAAACUCACCAAGUAAGACAUACUUUCUGAGAGCGUGACCGACACUGUCAGUUGACAAUGACACUCAUCAAUCAAUGGAUUUUGUUUUUUUUUUUUUUUGUUAAUCAAAUACUUUUAAAAAUUGUGGUCUUUGUUCGUAUCAUCUUCUAGUUGUCAUUACUUCUGCUUCCUAAUGUCCCUUGAUGUAUCCCUGUUAUGAUCAUAGACAUGAAAGAAAAGGAACUUAUAAAUUUUCUUCAAUGGAUUUACGCCCAUUUCCUUUUGAUUGACUUGUAAUUUUCAAUACCCAAAUUGGGAGUUGGAAAAAAUGCUCUGAUAUAGUUCAAGACUCAAGACUCAAGACUAAAGUGAAUUUUGUGCCAAACUGAGAAAGCAUAUAUUUACUGAUUCAGGAAAAAAUACCAGCACCAUUUGAAGAUUGGAUCAUAUCAACAAGGAGUGGGAACUGUAAGAAGGCAAAUAAGGUUACAGGAAUACAAGCAAUUAAAGCUGCUGGGACAGCAAUCCAUGCCAGUCUUUGGCUAAGGACAAUGCAAAAG
RNAcentral lists this long non-coding RNA (1170 nucleotides) under Theobroma cacao (cacao). RNAcentral's name for it is "long non-coding RNA (TCAC_LNC004055)". The record is from RNAcentral. Lineage: Eukaryota; Viridiplantae; Streptophyta; Magnoliopsida; Malvales; Malvaceae.